This 313-nucleotide ribosomal RNA is filed under the name uncultured bacterium. RNAcentral describes it as "bacterial SSU rRNA". It matches the Rfam family "Bacterial small subunit ribosomal RNA", at positions 28 to 346 of the family's 1533-position model. The record is from RNAcentral.
GACGAACGCUGGCGGCGUGCUUAACACAUGCAAGUCGAACGGAGAUUAUUAAUGAAGCUUGCGAUUUAAUAAUCUUAGUGGCGGACGGGUGAGUAACGCGUGGGCAACCUACCCAUAAGCGGGGGAUAACAGUCGGAAACGGCUGCUAAUACCCCAUAAGCCGAGAGGUAAAAGGAUCAAUCCGGCAGAGGAGGUACUCGCGUCCUAUCAGCUAGUAGGUGAGGUAACGGCUCACCUAGGCGAAGACGGGUAGCCGGCCUGAGAGGGCGAACGGCCACACUGGAACUGAGAUACGGUCCAGACUCCUACGGGA